CGGGAUGUGGCGCAACUUGGUAGCGCGCUUGGUUUGGGACCAAGAGGCUGGGAGUUCAAAUCUCUUCAUCCCGACCA
Molecule: transfer RNA, 77 nt
Filed under: Clostridiales bacterium
Lineage: Bacteria; Bacillati; Bacillota; Clostridia; Eubacteriales
Also listed under: 2 other names
Description: tRNA-Pro
Rfam family: tRNA
About the family: Transfer RNA (tRNA) molecules are approximately 80 nucleotides in length. Their secondary structure includes four short double-helical elements and three loops (D, anti-codon, and T loops).
Source: RNAcentral